Antechinus flavipes (yellow-footed antechinus) is the source of this 2089-nucleotide RNA transcript. It is a transcript of the gene named TP53-regulated inhibitor of apoptosis 1, with no coding region annotated. The record is from RefSeq and is a predicted model, not a curated record. The transcript has 3 exons. NCBI's taxonomy places the organism in Eukaryota, Metazoa, Chordata, Mammalia, Dasyuromorphia, Dasyuridae.
GCGCUCCAGGUGCUCGAUCAGCUCGGCGCUCACGCGGCUCCCGGCCUUCCCCGAGUCGCUCACCGCGUACCGGCAGCCGCCGACUCCUUUUCCCUUGGAGCAGGGGAUGACCCCUGCUCGCAGCGCCGCCCGCAGCGUCCGACGCCACAUCUCCUCUUCCCUGCUUACGCGGGCGCUCCGACGUGACAUAAGCGGCGCGCCGCGAUGACGUGGGUGCGGCGCCGCACCUUCCACUGCCGGGCUGGUCGCCAUGAACAGCGUGGGGGAGGCCUGCACCGAUAUGAAGCGCGAGUACGACCAAUGCUUCAACCGCUGGUUUGCCGAGAAAUUCCUCAAGGGCGACGGCUCCGGGGACCCCUGCACCGACCUCUUCAAGCGCUACCAGCAGUGCGUGCAGAAAGCCAUAAAGGAGAAGGAGAUUCCUAUAGAAGGACUGGAGUUCAUGGGCCAUAGCAAAGAAAAAUCUGAAAGCUCUUCUUGACCUCGACAGCAUCCUUCAGGAUGACCUUUUCAACUACAAACAUUGAGACAUUAAAGACUGUACUGUGGUCCCUGAAGAUGACCACUGGUUUUACCAGCUUUUUAGAGGAAAGUUCCAUUAAGUUUCUUUUCAGAAGGUCUGUAUGACCUUUAGAUUAUCUGCUUCCAGGUGGUGGUAGAAGACACCUAGCUGGGGUGGCAUCUUACAGUAUCAAACAUGGCAUAAGAGAACGAUUCUUCAGAUGAUCAGAAUGUUACUUGGUCUGCUGCUCUUAUAAUACAGUUUGCGUUUAAGUAAUCAAUGCAGGAGUCAGGAUGGCUAGGUCGUCCUGAAUGCUGAAUCCAUGCUGCUAAAAAUUAAAGUUUUGGGUUUUUUUUUUUUUUUCCCCUGGAAGCACUGCUCCAGGAGCGACUCCAGUAUUUAAAGGGCAACCAUUUCAUUUGGAUAAAGACUGAAUAAUGGUUAAAGGAGUGGAGCAAGCCAAAAAGGGAUCUGCCUUUUCAGAGACAACUACCUGCUUUUAAAGAAGAGGGUUCAGAUGGAAUAAAAAACAAAGCAUUUUGCGCUCCCAAAGUUUGGUACUAAGUCCACAAAUUAAGGGUUUGCAAAGCAACUGACCUCUCCUCUGGUCCUCCCAACACUGAGGCAGAUGCUACUGUGAGUGACUUAUUCAUGUUCACAAAGCUAAAUACCUGGGGAAAUUGGAACUCGGGUCUUGACUCCAAUUCCAACACUUCUAUUGACUUUGUCAAUCUAUUUAACGUGGUAAUUUUGUAAGGGCAGAUACCAUCACUUCAGUUUCAUGCCACAGAAUUCACUUUGAAAAUCAUUAAAGGGCAGAGAAUAAUAAAUAGGCUCUUUACAUGGAGACUGUACUAAGCACUUAUUGUUAUUCCCCAUUUAUGGAUGAGGAAACCAGGACAUCUUUUAUGCUUCAGUGACUUCAGGGUCACACAUUUAGUAACUGUCUGAAGCCACAUUUGAACAAAGGUUUUCCUGACUCCAGGCACUUUAUUCACUAUGUUGGUAUGAGCUGUCUUGUAAAAAAGCAAUUAUUUAAACUUAUGAGAAAUAACAGCCUUAAACUUAAAUUGGAAAAUCCUUUUUAUUAAUGAGCAGAGCAUAGUAGAUAAGGUAUGGGGGUAGAUUAAAGACAUUUGCAGACACUAAUCUAUUAUUUUCAUGCUUUGUGCUCUUUAAGCUUUCAUACCCCACAGGGUUAGCCUCUCAGCUGCAUCAGUCAGGGGGCAUCAAUGAGAUAAUAUAUAGGAGAAAAGAUUUCUUAUUUGUGACAUCCAUGUCAUAAGCCAAGUAACAGUCUUGUAGCAGCUCUUUGAGGUUAAUGUACUAUUAAUGAUAAACCAUAUCCUGAAACUCAGCCAGGUCACCUAAAGCUCAGAAAUCAUUAUGUAUGUGAGUGUUAAUUUGGUGACAAAGACAAAAUUCAACAGUUCAUCAUAGAAUUAUUUAUUUAAGCUGUCCCAAUCACAAGCAAAAUGAAAAAGGUCAGCAUAUUUGUCACUGUGUGAUGCAAGUUAACUUAAGGUCCCAUGUAAUUUUCUGAUCCAUAUAGAGAGAAAAGGAUGGUCCAACAGCUGCUGUGGUCCC